UGGGGAAUAUUGCACAAUGGGCGCAAGCCUGAUGCAGCAACGCCGCGUGAGGGACGACGGCCUUCGGGUUGUAAACCUCUUUUAGUAGGGAAGAAGCGAAAGUGACGGUACCUGCAGAAAAAGCACCGGCUAACUACGUGCCAGCAGCCGCGGUAAUACGUAGGGUGCAAGCGUUGUCCGGAAUUAUUGGGCGUAAAGAGCUCGUAGGCGGUUUGUCGCGUCUGCUGUGAAAACCCGAGGCUCAACCUCGGGCCUGCAGUGGGUACGGGCAAACUAGAGUGCGGUAGGGGAGAAUGGAAUUCCUGGUGUAGCGGUGGAAUGCGCAGAUAUCAGGAGGAACACCGAUGGCGAAGGCAGUUCUCUGGGCCGUAACUGACGCUGAGGAGCGAAAGCGUGGGGAGCGAACAGGAUUAGAUACCCCGGUAGUCC
RNAcentral lists this ribosomal RNA (429 nucleotides) under uncultured bacterium. RNAcentral describes it as "bacterial SSU rRNA". It matches the Rfam family "Bacterial small subunit ribosomal RNA", at positions 355 to 796 of the family's 1533-position model. The record is from RNAcentral.